This 346-nucleotide ribosomal RNA is filed under the name uncultured Methanolinea sp. RNAcentral's name for it is "bacterial SSU rRNA". It matches the Rfam family "Archaeal small subunit ribosomal RNA", at positions 991 to 1338 of the family's 1478-position model. The record is from RNAcentral. Lineage: Archaea; Methanobacteriati; Methanobacteriota; Methanomicrobia; Methanomicrobiales; Methanoregulaceae.
UGCAUGGCCGUCGUCAGUUCGUACUGUGAAGCAUCCUGUUAAGUCAGGCAACGAGCGAGACCCACGCCAACAGUUGCCAGCAUGUCCUCCGGGAUGAUGGGGACACUGUUGGACCGCUCUGCUAAAGAGGAGGAAGGAAUGGGCAACGGUAGGUCAGCAUGCCCCGAAUUAUCCGGGCUACACGCGGGCUACAAUGGUCAGGACAAUGGGUAUCGACACCGAGAGGUGGAGGCAAUCUCCUAAACCUGUCCUUAGUUCGGAUUGUGGGCUGCAACUCGCCCACAUGAAGCUGGAAUCCGUAGUAAUCGCGUUUCAAAAUAGUGCGGUGAAUAUGUCCCUGCUCCUU